AUGGUGGAAGACUAUCUUGCUAUGAAUGGAAUUAGUAUGACGUUGUUCUGUCAGAACAAGGACUCUCUGCACAGGUCCUUGACAGCUAGCUAUAUCUUUCGAGAGUAUGGUGUCGAAGCCACAAGCUCUGACUGGAAAGGCACUACUCGCCUUGCAAUGAAAAGCUGCACCUAUCUAGGCGACACGAUUGCAUUUGAUCAGGUCGUGGAAUUGCUUGAUAAGGGCAAGCCGGUGCUUGCUAUGAUGAUCAUGGGUCCUGAUUUUUGGAUGCUUGGCGAUGACGAAAUUUACAAAUGCAAACCUGUCUUCUUGUCAGGAGAGCUCCAAAAGCCAUUUGAGUACCACAGGGUACUCCUGACUGGGCAUGGAGAGACGGAAGUAACAAAGCGAAAGUUUGUUCCAUUCCUCAACUCCCACAGCAACAAGUUUGGGCAGAACGGUGUUGGGCGUGCUUACUUCAAGGACCUGCGCUGGUUUUUCACUUUGGAGGGCACCUACCCACCGCUUCUUCGACAUCAGCCACCUAAAGUUAAUGCACUCAACCGACCAAACCUCGACAAACUAAGGCGGCGGCCUGAGUGUGAUAAUCAGCCAAACCUUGACAUACGAAGGUGGCGGCCUGAAUGUGAUAACCGACGAAACCUUGAUAAACCAUGGAGGCGGCCUGAGUGUGAUAAUGGAGCAGUGAAACAAACGCAGGCACCUGGAAAAGCUGACGCUUCCUCUUGGUGGCGUGUUGACAUGCCCCAGCCGAUUGCUAAGGUGACCAAUGGUACUGCUUGGAAUGGUAUGACCUGUUACAAAUUAAAAUCUUCUAGUUUACCGAGUUUUGAUUGA
RNAcentral lists this ribosomal RNA (837 nucleotides) under Triticum aestivum (bread wheat). Its description in RNAcentral is "partial small subunit ribosomal RNA". The record is from RNAcentral. Lineage: Eukaryota; Viridiplantae; Streptophyta; Magnoliopsida; Poales; Poaceae.